GGGCACGGUAGCUGAAGAGU
This 20-nucleotide microRNA is filed under the name Mus musculus (house mouse). Its description in RNAcentral is "mmu-miR-8096". The record is from miRBase by way of RNAcentral. Lineage: Eukaryota; Metazoa; Chordata; Mammalia; Rodentia; Muridae.